This 1017-nucleotide long non-coding RNA is filed under the name Capsella rubella. RNAcentral describes it as "long non-coding RNA (CRUB_LNC003250)". The record is from RNAcentral. Lineage: Eukaryota; Viridiplantae; Streptophyta; Magnoliopsida; Brassicales; Brassicaceae.
ACAAAUCCCCACCACCACCAUACGUCUACAGCUCUCCACCUCCCCCGUACUACUCUCCUUCCCCAAAGGUUGACUACAAAUCCCCACCACCUCCUUAUGUCUACAGCUCUCCACCUCCCCCAUACUACUCUCCUUCCCCAAAGGGUGACUACAAAUCCCCACCACCACCGUACGUAUACAGCUCUCCACCUCCCCCGUACUACUCUCCUUCCCCAAAGGUUAACUACAAAUCUCCACCACCACCAUACGUCUACAGCUCGCCACCUCCCCCAUACUACUCUCCUUCCCCAAAGGUUAACUACAAAUCCCCACCACCACCAUACGUCUACAGCUCACCACCUCCCCCAUACUACUCUCCUUCCCCAAAGGUUAACUACAAAUCUCCACCACCACCAUACGUCUACAACUCGCCACCUCCCCCAUACUACUCUCCUUCUCCAAAGGUUAACUACAAAUCCCCACCACCUCCUUACGUCUACAGCUCCCCACCUCCCUCAUACUACUCUCCUUCCCCAAAGGUUGACUACAAAUCCCCACCACCACCAUACGUCUACAGCUCACCACCUCCCCCAUACUACUCUCCUUCCCCAAAGGUUAACUACAAAUCCCCACCACCACCAUACGUCUACAGCUCGCCACCUCCCCCAUACUACUCUCCUUCCCCAAAGGUUAACUACAAAUCUCCACCACCUCCUUACGUCUACAGCUCGCCACCUCCCCCAUACUACUCUCCUUCCCCAAAGGUUAACUACAAAUCUCCACCACCUCCUUACGUCUACAGCUCCCCACCUCCCCCAUACUACUCUCCUUCUCCAAAGGUUAACUACAAAUCUCCACCACCUCCUUACGUCUACAGCUCCCCACCUCCCCCAUACUACUCUCCUUCUCCAAAGGUUAACUACAAAUCUCCACCACCACCAUACGUCUACAAGACACCAUACUAUUGAUUUUGAAUUGUUUCAUUAACAAGAAACAUGAUUGCAAUAAUUUUUUCUUAAUGAUUUCUUUUUCUUGAUU